This 1148-nucleotide long non-coding RNA is filed under the name Mus caroli (Ryukyu mouse). Its description in RNAcentral is "RIKEN cDNA 4930507D10 gene (MGP_CAROLIEiJ_G0002664.1)". Lineage: Eukaryota; Metazoa; Chordata; Mammalia; Rodentia; Muridae. The record is from RNAcentral.
AGAUCACCUGUGCCCUUCAGUCAUAAGAUGCAGGAGCAUUUUAGAGGUAUCUAUUUCUCCAUUUUUGAUUUGUUUUUUUUGUUUUUUUUUUUUUUUUUCAGAAUCUUAGGUAGUUCAGUCUGACCUCAAAUCACUAUCUAUCCGAGGACAACUUGAGACUUCUGAUCUUCCCCUACCUCCCAAGAGAACUCCAGUUUGGUUCCUGAAACCCACAUCAGGAAGCUCACAGCCACCUGUGAGUCCAACUCCAUGGGAUCUAACAGCCUCUUCUGGACUCUGCCAGUACCCUACACAUGUGGCAUAUACACAGAGGCCUGAGUGCAAACUGAAGGGCAGUGGGAGUGAAUUCUCUACGGGGAUGCUACCGGUGUGUGGAAGAAAAGUCAGACAUGACCACAAAAUUCAACCUCCAAAAUUUUGUGCUUCAUCUGCAAAAUGAGAAUAAUGCUGUGUGCCCUUGAGAGGCCUGGCUUUCUACCAUCUGAACUCAGGCUCCUCCCCCUGAACAUCUCUGAAACCUGGGCUGAGAUCAUAGCUCCCCUACAGUGCUCAGAGUGGGGGUGGGGAGGAAAAAUGUUAUCCACCCAACAUCCGAAGUUAUCUUCUCCCAAAUUUCAAAGGAAGAGCUAUGCUCCAGUUGCAUGGUGGUCAGUGGAACCGUAGGGGUAUGACUUGUCUUCCCGAGGAAUGAGGGCACUGUCUGACAAUACUUUUAUCAUAAGUUGGAGCAAGGGAAGUUAUUGGCCCUUGACAAGUAGCAAUCAGGAACACUGCACCCUAGGGUACACCAGUCAGCCCUCACAGCAAAUAUUCCGUCUAUCAGUUGCAAGGUGGAAACACUCACAGAAUAGAACAGCUUCAGCCUUGAUCCCUCUCUGCCUCUACCUCUUGUGUGGUGUUGGAUAGGGCACCUCAUUACUCUGGACCACAUUUAGUGUCCUGAGUAGUAGGAUAAGAUGGUUUGACCUGAUGAUCUAAAUGACCUGUCAUUCUCGAAGUUUUUGCGUACAGUGUUAAGUCUCCCAAGUCAAAACAAGCAUCCCCACCUCCGUUCCCUCAACCCUAAAAUAGGACUGAACAUCCUUACUUCAUUGUUCCUACUAUGGUAUGAGAGGAAAAGUUAACUAACAAUUAUAAAAUUGUCUUAC